UUGGCCCUGAAUCAAGACCAGCAGUUCGUUGAAGCUGUUGGUUUCAAGCAGGAGCCUAAAAAAAGUCUUCCUAUGGUCUGUUGGCCAUUUCAGAACUUUGGAGAUGUAAUGGUCAAUUCAUUAGCAAGAAACAGCU
Erinaceus europaeus (western European hedgehog) is the source of this 136-nucleotide small nucleolar RNA. The record is from Ensembl. NCBI's taxonomy places the organism in Eukaryota, Metazoa, Chordata, Mammalia, Eulipotyphla, Erinaceidae.